This 1038-nucleotide ribosomal RNA is filed under the name Triticum aestivum (bread wheat). Its description in RNAcentral is "partial small subunit ribosomal RNA". The record is from RNAcentral. Lineage: Eukaryota; Viridiplantae; Streptophyta; Magnoliopsida; Poales; Poaceae.
AUGCCGUGGUACAACAGCCUUCCUCUUCAUUACAAGAACUGCUUGAUAUAUCUAUCUAUCUUCCCCCAAAAUGAUGGCAAUAUCCGAAGAACAAGCCUAGUCAGGCGAUGGGCAGCUGAGAACCUGAUCGCCGGAAGAAAUGGGUCAGCUGCACAUGAUGAAGCCGAGCACUGCUUCACUGUGCUUCUUGCAAAAAGAUUUAUUCUUCGCAGGGACAUCGGUGCUGCAGGGAAGGUCAAAAGCUGCAGAGUAAAUGAUUUCAUAUCAAAGUUCAUCAUGGAUAUUGCCAGAGAGGAGAAGUUCGUGGAUGCAGAUCUCCAACCGAAUUUCGGUCAUCGGAUAUCCAUUCACAAUAGAGGCCAACUGCAACAAGUCCUAUGGACACUUCAGGCAUCUGGCCCCAGCCCCUGUUUGAACAUUCGCAAGCACUCAACUAAUACUGAAGAUGGUCAAACCUUGGAUGACCUUACCAAGUUCCUUGAAACACUGCCUUCAUUUGCUCAGCUGGGGUUGCUUACAGUGCUGGAUCUGGAAGGCUUUGAUGGUUUAAAGGAUUACCAUCUGAAAAACAUCUGCGAAAUAUUUCAACUAAGAUAUCUGAACCUACGGAGGACUAAGAUUACCAAAUUGCCCAAGCAGAUAGAGAAACUUCAGCAGUUGGAAACACUGGACAUUCGGGAAACAGCUGUAAGAUCAUUUGGCACAAGCAGUGUUGUACUUCCAAUGCUAAAGCAUAUGCUUGCUGGGUGCACCCAACACCCAAACGAAGACGUGGAGUCAUUUUCCACAGUGUGCAUGCCCCUUGGAACUGGCAGCAUGACAAAUCUGCAGAUACUGUGCCAUGUUGAUGUUUCAGGCAAAGAAGAUCGUCUGGUCGAGAUCGGGAAGCUACUGCAGCUUAGAAAAUUGGGUGUUGUCUUCCGAAGCAAGAGAGAUAAUUUCAAGCACUUGCUCCAGGCAAUUGAGAAGCUGAACCAGAGCCUCCUCUCUCUCUCACUGUGUGGAAAUAACAGAUGGCCACAGGACUACAGACAUUAA